AUUCCAACCCAGGACAGAAAAUUAAAGUAAAUACAAAAUAGAGCAAUAAGGACUUCAACAUUUCUUAGAAAAUUUGAUUACUUUAUACUUCAAAACAUU
Ipomoea nil (Japanese morning glory) is the source of this 99-nucleotide long non-coding RNA. RefSeq lists it as uncharacterized. The record is from RefSeq and is a predicted model, not a curated record. Lineage: Eukaryota; Viridiplantae; Streptophyta; Magnoliopsida; Solanales; Convolvulaceae. The transcript is spliced from 3 exons.